CCCUUAGAUGUUCUGGGCCGCACGCGCGCUACAAUGAUGCAGGCAACGAGUGCUGCUCCUUGGCCGAAAGGCUUGGGGAACCUUGAAAACUGCAUCGUGCUAGGGAUAGAUGAUUGCAAUCGUGCAUCUUGAACGAGGAAUGCCUUGUAAGCGUGAGUCAUCAACUCGCGCUGAAUACGUCCCUGCCCUUUGUACACACCGCCCGUCGCUCCUACCGAUUGAAUGUUCCGGUGAGCUCUUCGGACUGCGCGGUCUGCAGUUUCUGCGUUCCGUGCGGAAAGUUGCGCAAACCUUAACAUUUAGAGGAAGGAGAAGUCGUAACA
Molecule: ribosomal RNA, 323 nt
Filed under: uncultured eukaryote
Lineage: Eukaryota
Description: partial 18S ribosomal RNA
Rfam family: Eukaryotic small subunit ribosomal RNA
Source: RNAcentral